AAUAUUGGACAAUGUGCGCAAGCCUGAUCCAGCCAUGCCGCGUUAGUGGUGAAGGCCCUAUGGUUGUAAAGCUCUUUCCCCGGUGAAGAUAAUGACGGUAGCCGGCGAAGAAGCCCCUGCUAACUUCGUGCCAGCAGCCGCGGUAAUACGAAGGGGGCUAGCGUUGUUCGGAAUUACUGGGCGUAAAGCGCACGUAGGCGGAUCGGUCAGUUAGGGGUGAAAUCCCGGGGCUCAACCCUGGAACUGCCUUUAAUAUUGCUGGUCUGGAGUUCGAGAGAGGUGAGUGGAAUUCCGAGUGUAGAGGUGAAAUUCGUAGAUAUUCGGAGGAACACCAGUGGCGAAGGCGGCUCACUGGCUCGAUACUGACGCUGAGGUGCGAAAGCGUGGGGAGCAAACAG
Molecule: ribosomal RNA, 398 nt
Filed under: uncultured bacterium
Lineage: Bacteria
Description: partial 16S ribosomal RNA
Rfam family: Bacterial small subunit ribosomal RNA
Source: RNAcentral